Molecule: long non-coding RNA, 139 nt
Organism: Etheostoma spectabile (orangethroat darter)
Lineage: Eukaryota; Metazoa; Chordata; Actinopteri; Perciformes; Percidae
Exons: 3
Source: RefSeq, a predicted model, not a curated record
CUAGUGGCUGUAAUUCUGCACCAAGGCUGCAUUUUGGGAAAUAGACUUUAGAUAUAGUAUUAGGGGACCACUAAGGUCUAUAUAAAAGCAUCCAAAGUGCACCAUAUCAUGGGACUUUUAAAAAAAGAUGGUGUGAUUU